Molecule: long non-coding RNA, 530 nt
Organism: Harpegnathos saltator (Jerdon's jumping ant)
Lineage: Eukaryota; Metazoa; Arthropoda; Insecta; Hymenoptera; Formicidae
Exons: 3
Source: RefSeq, a predicted model, not a curated record
AUGGAAGAGCACUUUUUCGUUCCUCUCGCUUAGCUCUACGCCCCUAUGGAGUUGUUCGUUUCGAGGUACCAAACUCCUUCGCUGUUUUCGUUACACCCCAGCAAUCAGGAGCUGUAGUUAAGAUCAUUAAACGAAGGAGAUCUGUGGGCGACAAACUUGAGAAGCGAUUUUUCAACCCGGUGAGCAUUUCUUCCAGCUCUUCUUCUCUUGAUAAAUGAGGUAUUUUCAUUGAAGAAGGGCCAUCUUCAUCUCCAGAAUUCAAAAAAUUGCUUUCGGCUUCCUCAGACAAGUCAGAUUCAUUGUGUUUGGCUGAAAUCGAACGGAUUGCAGCAUCUAUCUGCCCGAGUUUUUGACGCCAAAGAUGACAUUUUUAUCAGAGUUCGCAAAAUAUAAAAAAUUAGGAUUUCAGAAUAAAUUUUGACUGUGUCGUAUCAGGUGCGCUAAAUGCAGGUGUGAAAAUGCCUGACGAAAAAGAAAGUGAUUUUAUAAAGCAAUUGUUUGCCCAACAGCAAAAAACAACAAUAAAAAAA